UAGUAAAAUGGUUUUCGGAUGAUAACUCAAAAACGCAUACGCUUAGGAUCAUGAAACUUCAUGGGUAGAUUGAUCAUGACUUGCAGAUGACCCCUAUUGAUUUUGAGGUCACUAGGUCAAAGGUCAAGGUCACGGUGACCCGAAAUAGUAAAAUGGUUUCCGGAUGAUAACUCAAGAAUGCAUACGCCUAGGAUCAUGAAACUUCAUGGGUAGAUUGAUCAUGACUCGCAGAUGACCCCUAUCAAUUUUGAGGUCACUAGGUCAAAGGUCAAGGUCACGGUGACCCGAAAUAGUAAAAUGGUUUCCGGAUGAUAACUCAAGAACGCAUACGCCUAGGAUCAUGAAACUUCAUUGGUAGAUUGAUCAUGACUCGCAGAUGACCCCUAUUGAUUUUGAGGUCACUAGGUCAAAGGUCAACGUCACGGUGACCCGUAAUAGUAAAAUGGUUUUCGGAUGAUAACUCAAAAACGCAUACGCUUAGGAUCAUGAAACUUCGUGGGUAGAUUGAUCAUGACUCGCAGAUGACCCCUAUUGAUUUUGAGGUCACUAGGUCAAAGGUCAAGGUCACGGUGACCCGAAAUAGUAAAAUGGUUUCCGGAUGAUAACUCAAGAAUGCAUACGCCUAGGAUCAUGAAACUUCAUGGGUAGAUUGAUCAUGACUCGCAGAUGACCCCUAUCAAUUUUGAGGUCACUAGGUCAAAGGUCAAGGUCACGGUGACCCGAAAUAGUAAAAUGGUUUCCGGAUGAUAACUCAAGAACGCAUACGCCUAGGAUCAUGAAACUUCAUAGGUAGA
Dreissena polymorpha is the source of this 794-nucleotide long non-coding RNA. RefSeq lists it as uncharacterized. The transcript is spliced from 2 exons. NCBI's taxonomy places the organism in Eukaryota, Metazoa, Mollusca, Bivalvia, Myida, Dreissenidae. The record is from RefSeq and is a predicted model, not a curated record.